GAGCCGUUAGCUCAGUCGGUAGAGCAACAGCCUUUUAAGCUGUGGGUCGAUGGUUCGAAUCCAUCACGGCUCACCA
RNAcentral lists this transfer RNA (76 nucleotides) under bacterium. RNAcentral describes it as "tRNA-Lys". It matches the Rfam family "tRNA". From Rfam's summary of the family: Transfer RNA (tRNA) molecules are approximately 80 nucleotides in length. Their secondary structure includes four short double-helical elements and three loops (D, anti-codon, and T loops). The record is from RNAcentral.